This 253-nucleotide ribosomal RNA is filed under the name uncultured bacterium. RNAcentral's name for it is "partial 16S ribosomal RNA". It matches the Rfam family "Bacterial small subunit ribosomal RNA", at positions 524 to 776 of the family's 1533-position model. The record is from RNAcentral.
UACGUAGGCAGCGAGCGUUGUUCGGAGUUACUGGGCGUAAAGCGUGCGUAGGCGGUGUCUUAAGUUUGUUGUGAAAUCUCCCGGCUUAACCGGGAGGGUGCGGCGAAUACUGAGAUGCUGGAGUGCCGGAGAGGUAAGCGGAAUUCCUGGUGUAGCGGUGAAAUGCGUAGAUAUCAGGAGGAACACCUGCGGUGUAGACGGCUUACUGGACGGUAACUGACGCUCAUGCACGAAAGCGUGGGGAGCAAACAGG